AUAUACCACCAUAACACCCUGAACACAUCUGAUCUUGAAAGCAAAGCAGGGCCAGGUUUGAUUAAUACUUGGAUGGAGACCACUUGAAAAUACCAUGUGCUUUUGA
RNAcentral lists this ribosomal RNA (106 nucleotides) under Sphenodon punctatus (tuatara). Lineage: Eukaryota; Metazoa; Chordata; Lepidosauria; Sphenodontia; Sphenodontidae. The record is from RNAcentral.